AGAGUUUGAUCCUGGCUCAGGAUGAACGCUAGCUACAGGCUUAACACAUGCAAGUCGAGGGGAAACGACAUCGGAAGCUUGCUUUUGAUGGGCGUCGACCGGCGCACGGGUGAGUAACGCGUAUCCAACCUGCCCACCACUUGGGGAUAACCUUGCGAAAGUAAGACUAAUACCCAAUGACGUCUCUAGAAGACAUCUGAAAGAGAUUAAAGAUUUAUCGGUGAUGGAUGGGGAUGCGUCUGAUUAGCUUGUUGGCGGGGUAACGCCACAAGGCGACGAUCAGUAGGGUUCUGAGAGGAAGGUCCCCCANAUUGGAACUGAGACACGGUCCAAACUCCUACGGGAGGCA
This 349-nucleotide ribosomal RNA is filed under the name uncultured bacterium. Its description in RNAcentral is "bacterial SSU rRNA". It matches the Rfam family "Bacterial small subunit ribosomal RNA", at positions 8 to 350 of the family's 1533-position model. The record is from RNAcentral.